GUUAAAGAUGGAAAGAAACACAGUAUAAAGUUUAAAGAUGGAUAUAAACACAGUAUAAAGGUAAAAGAUGGAUAGAAAUACAGUCUAAAGGUAAAAGAUGGAUAGAAAUACAGUAUAAAGUUUAAAGAUGGAAAGAAACACAGUAUAAAGUUUAAAGAUGGAUAGAAAUACAGUAUACUGCAGUGUUUAUUUCCAAGGCAGAGUGUAACAUGUCUGUUUAUGACAUGGUAAUGGAGGGGAGGAGUGCGCUUUCAAGGAAGGUCAAAUGCCAAUAAUACGGUAUACGUGGUCUGAAACAUUAACAUGUAUGUCUCAGUGUGAAUGACUGAUCAUCAAACCCAAUCAACAGCUUUGGUUUAUUGCUAUCUUAAACAAACACACGUCCUUUCAAAGCCUGUUUCCUGCCUGCCAGCUUAAACGAGACCCCCGCUAGCAGUAGCUACCCCAUGCUGAGGCUCCAAACCGGACCCCGGACUCUAGAAAACGAGCUGCAGCGCAACACAGAGAACAACAUAAUUAACUCUUAAUGAACCUCCUUCUUCCAUCACUAACACACACUUCCCAAAUUCAAUUUGGCCUAAUCCUGCCUUUAUGGUAAUGUAUAGCUCAUUAAAAUGUUAGUUACAGACUCAUUAAAAUGCACUCAGAGACAUAAUGAAUUCAUUACUAUGAUACUGCUGAAAAAGAAAGAGGAGCUAGACGAGAAGAAGGACACGGGAGAAGAAAGCAAAGGAAAGAGCGAGAAUGAGAGAGGAAGACAGGCUUCCCGAUGACUUAAUUUUGACUGGAAUCUGCAUAUAUUUGCAUAAUAAACCUGCAUGCUGUGCAGCUAAUUUUCAGCAUAGCUCUAUAAUGAAGGCCCUUGCAAUUAAGAUUCUUUUCUUCAAAAUAAAUGUAGGACCCGUUCAUAGCUCUUUGUAGCGUCUCACUUUGUGUGUACGCAUCUGUCUGGGUGUGUCAGUGAUGUCUCGUUUGGGUUACAUUCGAAUUAUUUUGCCUAAGUAUGGUAGCUGAUGAAUGCAGGUCAAAGACGACCCAACAAUAUAAACAUAAACGAUGUUGAAAACACCACCUGUGCGCAAAAGCAGCGUGUCCAGAAUGUGAAUUUUCAGCCAUUAAGUGUUUUUCAGCUAGUUCUUCAGCUUUGUAACCCUGCGCUGUGAAGGAAUCAGAGAAGGCAGCAGUAGCAAAGAGACUCCCAAAAAGCCAAGGUCUUCAAGAGACGAUGUUUCAGCCGCUGUAGUCUGAUUCUGCCUAAUGAACGUAGCUGGAGAGCUCUGAAAACUUGGAGACUGAGUAGAAUCAAAAGACUUCAUCUCAUCAUCCAACUCCGCUGCUAACACGCCUGCUUUUAUCCCGUACCUCGGAAUCAAACAAACGUCUGACUGCAUGCGAGAGACGAGACUCAAGACAGAAGCUGGGGAUGAUUGUGAGAUCAAAGACAUGAAUUGGCUGAUCAGGUUGGGAGAUUCAUAUUCCUCUGUAAAACAGGGAGAAAGGCAAACCUUUUGCAGCAUUAAAUAUGUUGCUGGCUGUGUAAGUUUUCUUAUAUUCGUUACUACGCCUUUGAUAUAGAUCUCUAAUUAGUUUGUCAAGAUGGUGAUCACAUGCCGGGGUUGUAAGAACCCUGAUGGAAAUGAACCCUUUGGCGGAAUCAAAGUUUUUUUUUCUUUUUCCAUUAGUAUCAAAGGGUAUUUAGCCACUGUUGGCUUUUAGACUGUCAGGGCAGAAUACUACCAGGAAGGCUUAACACAGCUCAGGAACUGGAGAUCUGACAAAAGGUUUCCUGUGAAAGGACUUUUGCCUGCUCAUCAAUACCAUCAAAUGGUGUAUCUCUAUCUCAUUAUCUCUUUUCAACUCGUCCAGUCUUGAGACAUCUGACAUCUUAAAAAAUUAGUUCCAUGGUGCACUUUCAUUUACAGCUUUUGGCAGAGACCCUUAGAGCAGCUUACAGGCUUAAGGGCCUUGCUCAAGGGCCCAGCACUGGCGAGUUGGUGGUACUGGGCGUCAAACUCACAACCUCCCGAUCAGGAGCCCACUGCCGUAACCACUGACCUACAACUGCCCUGUUUUCAAAGUCUCUGGCACCUAAAACUCAGUGUACAGUCUUCUAGCUUCCCUCAAGUACAAGAAGAAGAAGAAGAAAAAAUGAUGUACAUCUGCCAGGUCUUUAGAUAAACCUUCAGUGCUCAACAACAAUACACCUGCUACUAUAGUUCAGAAUCUGUUAGUCUGAUAAACACGGACUUGGAUAUUAUGGUCAUGGUUUGGUCAUGGUGGAGAUAGUGAAGGACUGGUACUGGUCCUGUACCCACUGGCUCAUUUCAGUUCAUUUCAGUGUGUGUGGGUCUAACAAUUGACCUUGUUACAAAGGAGUAAUACUGGACCUAGAUCAAUAACAAGUAAGCCAAAAGCAAGAAUGGAACACGAAAAAUCUGUCAAGCAGAAUUAAAAGAAAUCUUAAAGGAGGAACUAGAUUCAAACGAGUAAAGAGUACAAUUUGUUAAAGGAGAGUGAAGUCUCUCAAUUCCAAACCAACUCAAAACGCUGACCAGAGAAGGAUUAGCCCUGCCUCACUCAGGGUGAGCAUUGAGUCUUCUCAAGGUAAAUUAUGGUUCCUUUCAAGGUGAAUCUUGAUUCCUCUCAAAAUAAGUAUUGGUUCCUUUAACAUCAAGUGCUGGUUCCUCUCAAGGUGAGCAUUGAUUUCUUUCACUGUGUCUUGAUUUCUAUUGAAGUGAGUCUUGGUUCUGCUCAAAGUGAAUCUUGAUUCCUCACAUUGUAAGCUUUAGUUCCUCUCAAGGCGAGUGUUGAUUCCUCUCAAGGUGAGUCUUGAUUCCUCACAUUGUAAGCUUUAGCUCCUCUCAAGGCAAGUGUUGAUUGCUCUCAAGGUGAGUCUUGAUUCCUCACAUUAUAAGCUUCAGCUCCUCUCAAGGCAAGUGUUGGUUCUUCUCACAAUGAGUCUUGAUUCCUAUUAAUAUGAGUCUUGAUUCUUUUCAAUGGUGUCUUGAUCCCUAUUAAGGCAAGUGUUUGUUUCUCUCAAGGUCAGUUUUGGCCUCGCUCAUGAUAAGUGUUCUCAAAGGUUACUUCCUCACCACUGUUGCCCUUGGCUUGAGCAUUAACAUCUCUAAACCUGCUUCGAGGUAAUCUGCAAUUUGUAAUCACUGUUAUAAUAAUAAAAUAUUAGUCUAUUCCAGCUCAGUACCUGUCCACGCAGUACGUACGUACACACACACACACACACACACACACACACACACACACACACACACACACACACACACACACAAAAGCACACAUUAAUUGCUCUCAUGCAGGGUGUUUUGGAGGGAUCCACUGAAGCAGAAGUGAUGUCUGAUGACAUAGGACCUGCUGGGUGUCACAAUGGCCAAAUACAGCUGGAGACAGUGUGAAGAUGCUUUCUCUCCUUCCCUCUGUGUUUUUUAAUCUCUCACACUGAUAAACUCAGCCAGCCUUCAUCACCAGUUUCAUGCUGUUUUGUAUAUUUUUCCCUUUUUUUUGUACGAACCACACAAAAGUAUCAUUUGUUUGUCACCUUACAUAUCGAAGGUUUUAUUCAUUUUUUCUGCAUGUGAAGAGGAUGUAAGUGAAAGCUAAGCAGAGUGAAUUCCUGUACGUAGCACUCUGCAGUGGGAAUCUGAUGCUGGACCCUUCCUGACGCAGGCUUCUAUUUUCUGCCCAUGAACUGUGACAUUGUGAGAACGACCUCGGGGAUGUACAGUAAGACAAGCCUCACCGCACAGCCCUGC
Long non-coding RNA from Ictalurus punctatus (channel catfish), 3767 nucleotides. Lineage: Eukaryota; Metazoa; Chordata; Actinopteri; Siluriformes; Ictaluridae. The record is from Ensembl.